UACGGAGGGGACUAGCGUUGUUCGGAAUUACUGGGCGUAAAGCGCACGUAGGCGGAUUUGUUAGUCAGGGGUGAAAUCCCGAGGCUCAACCUCGGAACUGCCUUUGAUACUGCAAAUCUCGAGUCCGGAAGAGGUGAGUGGAAUUCCUAGUGUAGAGGUGAAAUUCGUAGAUAUUCGGAGGAACACCAGUGGCGAAGGCGGCUCACUGGCUCGGUACUGACGCUGAGGUGCGAAAGCGUGGGGAGCAAACAGG
This 253-nucleotide ribosomal RNA is filed under the name uncultured bacterium. RNAcentral describes it as "partial 16S ribosomal RNA". It matches the Rfam family "Bacterial small subunit ribosomal RNA", at positions 524 to 776 of the family's 1533-position model. The record is from RNAcentral.